GGCCUCCCAUAUCCCCAAAUAGCAUCUUGGCACCUCACAAAUGGGAGAAACAUCGGUUAGGUUUUAUCUGAAAGGCAAUAGAAUUCUCAAACAUAUAUGAAGUCAGCAUAUUAUAACAAGUCACUUGUUUUUUUCCUUCUGUGAGAAAUCAAUUAAAAAAAUGGAGAAGUACGGGGAAAGAAACAAUGAAAAUUGAUGAGUUCCCCAUAACCGUUUAAGUUCCAGUGAUUUACAUAACUCUUCUGGGCUUUGAUUUCAUCACUGUAAAAUGGACAAACUUGUAGUAGUUUUCUAGAAGAUUAAAUGGGGGGCAGUAAGUCAAGUGCUUAGGAUCGUGUCUGGCACUUACUAGUUCAUGCUCAUGACCAUUUUUAACAGCAUCUAGUGUCUCUAUAAUUGUGCCUCCCAGCAGUCCUUUCCAGCCAGGUCUCAACCCAACAGGAUAAGGCUGCUCUCAUGGUGUGGUGGGCAGAGUGAGCUGUAGAAUCCAGUUGCAGCUCAGCGACUUACUUUCUAGGUCCAUGGGCAGUGACCUACCCCCUCUAGGCUCUUCUACUUCCUCACCUAUAAAGUGUGGGGGGUGUUACUACUUGCUUUAUAGAGUGAUUACAAAUAUUAAAAGAAAUAACUUGUGUAAAACUCAGUGUACAAAACCUUUAGCCAUGAAGGGACUCAAAACUGUUACCUUUAUUUCACCCUUUUCCCCUCAUUUGUAAUGUUUUUAAAUGGUCUGUGGCAGGAAGCUAAUUCGUUUCUUAUGCUAAUAGUUCAAUUAAUGCAGUGCUCUUUUGAGAAGCUCAGCUCAAUUUACAUAGCUAGCAAUAUUCAGCUAAACCCCUUAUACCUGUCUGAUUUGGGGUUCACACUGAUGAACAGAGUUUUAUAUAUAUUUCCUGUCUUAUAUAAUACAAUUCUCCUUGAAAAAGAAGGCACCGGUUCGUUUUAAAAGACUGGAUCUCUGUUACCUACAGUAAAGUAGCCAAGUUGGGCUGACCACCAGCCUAAUGAGUUUCUGUUGGAUUGGUUCCACUUAGUCUGUUUCAUGGCCUAGGUCAGACAGCUCACUAAUGGAUGCACUUAACGAUGCCACUUUAGUCCAGAUGGUGUGACUGAAGAGGCUCAAUUUCACUCCUGGUAAAAGUGACCCAGAGGCACUCUUUGCUGAUGAUAUUAGGGGCAUGGUCUUUGUAUUGGAAAGACAUUGUCUCUCCUUCUCCGACCCCAUAAUGCAAGAAAAUUUAAUUCUAAUAGAAAGAACAGGGCCCAAGUGUUGUAGUAAUAGGAGUUUAUACUCUCAUUUGAGAAAUUUUGUAUUCCUGGGGUAAAUGAGAUCAAUUUUGGCUUAUGAUGACAGUGUUCCUUAUGUUUUUUAGAUGUCAGAGAAAGUGUGACAACAAAGCAAAACUUUGCGGUUACUGUAGGGAGUGGGGGUGGAGACUAAAACGAGAAGGAAACAUACACGAUUAUUUGAAAUUGCAUUUUCAAGAUUACCAGUGAAGCAGAACUUCUUUUCAUAUAUAUUGACUUUCACAAUUUCUCCUUCAGCAAAUUAUAUAUUCAUAUCCUGUGACCAUUUUUUUAAUCAGAUUGUAACGAUUUUUUUUCUUAUUGUAGCAACUAUUUAUAUAUCUUGGAUAUUAAUUCCUUAUUAGUUAUAAAUGCUGUAUUUAUAAUAAAGAAUUUCCUCUUAAAAAAAGAAGACAGAAGAAUUGAGUUUGAUAGAUUGUUUUAAUUUUCAUGUGUUAGGUCUUGAGAAAUAAAUGCAGCAUCAAAAGUAUAAAUAUAUUUUACAAAGGAUUGGAAAACCAAGUAUCAAUCAAUUAUAUUGUAAAAGGUUUCAAAUUUUUAAAUGGAUAGAAAAAUCUGUUUGGACUUUGGGUCACCAGCUAUUAAAUACUUAAUGUUUAGCUCUGAAAAUAGCAAAUCACCUACACAGUUUUAAAACCUAUAUUAUUUUCUUUAAUCAUACUUAAAAUAUUUUGAUCUUUUGUUAGUAUUUUGUAUUUGUUACUAUAUGUAUUUAAGCAUCUUUAGCCCUAAUACAAGUUUGGAGGCUCAGAAGUUACUCGGGAAGAGAGAAAAAUAUAUUUGAAAAAGUCUAAGUUGUACUCCAAGAAAGUGUUUGCAAUCGUUGUUUCCACCAAAUGGUGGAACUGUUAUUGGUGUACCUGUUUCCUACCCCUUCACCAUCAUUAGAUAUUUUUAUUCUUUCGUUUUUAGCAAUGUGAUAGGCAAAAUAUCUCCUUGUAGUGUGGACUUAUUUCUUUGGUUAUCACUGAGAUAGAAUGUCUUUUCUAAUGGCUAUAGCUAUUUGUAGUUCUCCUUAUGUGAUGUUUAUUUGCAUUCGUUUCUCACUUUUCCUUUGGGUUGUUGGUCUCAUUUUAAUUAAUUUCUAGGCUCUUCUUAAAGUAAAUGAAACAAAAAUUGUACCAUGGCUAUGUUUAGCACCCACCCGGCUAACUCACUUUGCAUUAGUAAUUGCUUGAGAAGCCUAUACAGCUUAACCUUUUCAUAUUUCUAAUCAUUGUUUCUCUUCUUCCCUAAUUUAACCAUCCCACCAUUAUAGUCAGCAGGUUAGGUGGCAAAUAUUGGAGGAUGAAUGGAAAUAAAUAUGAAUGAUUUCUCAUAUGAGCUAAGUGGUUAACCUAUACCUUCUCAUGAACAGUCAGUAUACUACAGUAAUUCCAAAUCUUAAGAAAUAGGAAUUGUUUUCCAGGUGAAAAAAAUAAGAUUCAGUGAAGGUUGAGAAAUGAGCCCAAGAUGAACAAAGUGAAAGGAGAUCUUAAGUUUGUCUGAUAAUACCAAAAGCCUGGGCUCCUUCCACCAAUCCAUGUUUUCUGCAGAAACAUUUCUAUUAACCUAACAGCACAAAUUAGCUAGUUUACAUUCAGGCCUGAGAGAAGAAGAAAUGCAGAAAGAGGCAAAACUGGGGCUUAGGUUUAUCUAUCUCAGGGCUUGGUUGGGGACUAGAGGAGGGAGGACAUGGCUCAUGAUAAGAGGGUUAGUCACCCUUGGAUUAACUUGGGUGAAGGAAGGAAAAAUGGAAAAGGCAAUUUCAAAAGUACAGAGGAUGGGGUGCCCGUAUCAUUGAGCUGGAGUUUACCAACAGAGAGGAAAAAGAGACACUGUACAAGUAUAAAUGUGAAUGCACUUCAUUGUUCAGGAACUAUCAAAGAAACAGCAUCAACAGAAUAACAACAGUAACGUGGACUGGAGGGCAGUUAAGAUGAAAGGUCCCUCAUUAUGGGAUGCCAUUCAGACAGUAGAGGGGUUUUUGUUUUUUGGGGGGGGUUGUUUUUGUUUUUUUAAAGCAGGAGUUCCCACUAUGAUGCAGUGGGUUACAAACCUGACUGCAGUGGUUCAGGUUGCUGCAGAGGUGUGAGUUUGUUCCCCACUCAGCACACUGGGUUAAAGGAUCCGGCAUUGCUGCAGUUGUGGGGAUAGGUUGCAGCUGUGACUUAGCUUCAAUGCCUGGCCUGGGAACCUCCAUGUGCUGCGGGUGCAGCC
This 3507-nucleotide long non-coding RNA is filed under the name Sus scrofa (pig). RNAcentral's name for it is "lncRNA (ENSSSCG00065053538.1)". The record is from RNAcentral. Lineage: Eukaryota; Metazoa; Chordata; Mammalia; Artiodactyla; Suidae.